GUCAAAUUGGCUGAGAGAGCAGGCAGACACCGAUCUGCACAUUGGGUUCUUAGUCACAAACAGACCUGCUAUCAUGGUCAAAUACCUUUUGAGAUGGUUUCUUUGUAGGUAUGCACACAUUCUACAUCUUGUAGUGAAGGGUGCAGUUUAGAAAGCCAAUAUAAAGAUUCAAAUUAUAGCUGAGCAUUGAAGGAGGAUGUCUGUGCAUUUCUACCACAGCGUGAGG
Molecule: non-coding RNA, 226 nt
Organism: Pelobates cultripes (western spadefoot toad)
Lineage: Eukaryota; Metazoa; Chordata; Amphibia; Anura; Pelobatidae
Source: the annotation of a GenBank genome assembly